AGUCUUUGCCAUACCAUCACGAAUGUGCAUGAUUUCAUCUAAUAUCGGGAGCUAAGCAGCGUUGGGUCUGGUUAGUACUUGGAUGGGAGAACAUCCUGACAUUAUCACCU
This 110-nucleotide ribosomal RNA is filed under the name Castor canadensis (American beaver). The record is from RNAcentral. Lineage: Eukaryota; Metazoa; Chordata; Mammalia; Rodentia; Castoridae.